Molecule: long non-coding RNA, 234 nt
Organism: Pygocentrus nattereri (red-bellied piranha)
Lineage: Eukaryota; Metazoa; Chordata; Actinopteri; Characiformes; Serrasalmidae
Exons: 3
Source: RefSeq, a predicted model, not a curated record
CUCAGUAACAUAUACACAAGCCCACCCCGAAUUAUUCAGGAAUAAAUACUAAAAUAUCGUGUUUUAUUGUGAUGAAAUGUGGUCUGAAAAAGCAGAAUAGGAUAAGACUUUCACCUGGCAAGCGUCCCAUCAGGUCAGGACCAGCAGCGCACUCCGCAGAAAGGGCUUCACCUGAAGAAUUAUGCUCGAGAGAUUGCAGCUGUUCUUGCAUUAAAAGAUGAGCCGAGACAGUAA